UGUCUGAAGCUUUGGAACUAUGAGAAUUAGUCAUGCUAAUUACAUCUGUUCUCAGCAUUCAAGAUCUUCUGACGUCGUGGCAAGUGAUAAGUCCGAGGGCUGCCGUAGAGUCAACCAAGCAUUAAAAGUCAUGGGAAGCUCUAAAGCCUCUCUUAUGAUAUAUGCUUCCGUGAAAUGAUUUUGCAAGAAAUGUUGAGCACUUAAGGAUGCCACAGAACCCAAUUCCAAAAUAACUGGUGCAGAAUUCAACAUUUUGAUAAGUAACCACAUCUCUUUCAUUUUGAAGAGAAUCUAAGUUUAUCUUAAACCUAGGGGAAAGUGUGUAAUUUGCUCUAGAAUCUUUUGAUUUGUUGAGUCUAUUUUUGUGUAUACUACUGUGAUGGUUAAUUUCAUGUGUUAACUAGAUUGGGCUGAGGCAUGCCCACAUAUCUGGUAAAAUAUUAUUUCUGUGUGCUUCUGUGAGAAGGAUCAGUCCUCACAAAUGUGGGCAGGUAUCCUCCAAUCCACUAAGGACCAGAGUAGAGCAAAAAGGCAGAGGAAGGGCAAAUUCUCUCUCUCUCUUUGUGAGCUGGAAUAGCUAUCUUUUGUCCACAGACGUUGGAGCUCUUGAUUCUCAGGCCAUCGGCACUGAAUUAUACCACAGGAUUACCUUAUUCUCCAGCUUGCAUAGAGCAAACAGUGGGACUUCUUGGCCUUUCUAAUCACAUGAGCCAAUUCCAAUAAUUAUAUAUCUCUUUAUUUAUAUAUUUCUAUAUGUCCUAUUUGUUCCACUUUUCUAGAGAAUCCAACUAUCCUUAGGUAGUUUCUGAGAAUCAAGUUUAAUGCUAUUGAUUGGUUUGAAAAGACAGUUUUAUAGAUACUUGUCUUUUUCUUCUUCUUCUUCUUUUUGAGACAGAGUCUGGUUCUGUUGCCAGCCUGGAGUGCAGUGUCACAAUCUCAGCUCACUGCAGCCUCCGCCUCCUGGGUUCAAGUGAUUCUCCUGUCUCAGUCUCCCAAGUAGCUGGGACUACAGGCGCGUGCACCACCACGUGCAGCUAAUUUUUGUAUUUUUAGUAGAGAUGAAGUUUUACCAUGUUGGCCAGGAUGGUCUUGAUCUCUUGACCUCGUGAUCCACCUGCCUGAACCUCUCAAAGGGCUGGGAUUACAGGUGUGUGAGCCACCGCACCUGGCCCCUACAUUUUCUUUUUUUUUUUUUUUUAACUUGAGUACAUGCCACAGUGAUCACCUUGAAGGCUGAAAGCUCUUGGCUAUACAUCAGCCUAUGGAAUGUUUAUUAUUGAUGGAGAAUUUUAAUAAUGUAGUAUUCUGGAGAAGUUGUGUGGACCUCCUUCAAGAGAGGCCAAAAUGUAGGAAGGAGAAGAAAACAGGAAAGAUGCGGACUUUACUGUCAUUUAAGAGUUGCUGAAUUAAAUUUUGAUAUAAAUAGCUCUUCAAAGUUGUAGGGAUAGGUAGGAACAAUAUUUUUAUUUUUUAUUUCAUCAGGGCUAUAAAUGAAACUAUACCCUUGUAUAAACUUCAAAGCACAAAGUCUCUAAAAACAUUCAGAAAAGGUGACUUUCAUUGAAAUAGAAUCUAUAGAAAUUAAUGUUUUAAUUGGACUUUGACAAAUUAUAGGCAGCAGUGCCUCACAGGCGUAUUGAUUUUUUAGAUCUUUCUUUUCUUGCAUUAAAAUAACCAUACAUAAAAUGAUUAUAGGAAAAUUAAUAAUGGACUACUUCUAAAUAAAAGGAAAACUUUUAUCUUUGAAAUUUUUCUCAGUUUUCUAAUACCAAGAAUAUUUGCAUUUUGAAUAGAAUCUUAAAACAUAUUGUCAUAAAAAAGCAAUGAAACAUGUAUACUGCACUUACGAGUAUGUGAAACAAGCUAGGAGCAGGGAAAUAAAUCAAUGUUAUUGAUUUUUUUCAGCUAAUUAUUACUGCAUUUAUUUAAAUUCAGAUAAGGGUAUUAUAGAACAUAUC
This is a long non-coding RNA of Callithrix jacchus (white-tufted-ear marmoset), 1958 nucleotides long. The record is from Ensembl. NCBI's taxonomy places the organism in Eukaryota, Metazoa, Chordata, Mammalia, Primates, Cebidae.